UGGGGAAUUUUGGACAAUUGGGCGCAAGCCUGAUCCAGCCAUGCCGCGUGCGGGAAGAAGGCCUUCGGGUUGUAAACCGCUUUUGUCAGGGAAGAAAUCUUCUGAGUUAAUACCUCGGGAGGAUGACGGUACCUGAAGAAUAAGCACCGGCUAACUACGUGCCAGCAGCCGCGGUAAUACGUAGGGUGCAAGCGUUAAUCGGAAUUACUGGGCGUAAAGCGUGCGCAGGCGGUUUUGUAAGACAGAGGUGAAAUCCCCGGGCUCAACCUGGGAACUGCCUUUGUGACUGCAAGGCUUGAGUGCGGCAGAGGGGGAUGGAAUUCCGCGUGUAGCAGUGAAAUGCGUAGAUAUGCGGAGGAACACCGAUGGCGAAGGCAAUCCCCUGGGCCUGCACUGACGCUCAUGCACGAAAGCGUGGGGAGCAAACAGGAUUUAGAUACCCUGGUAGUCCACGCCCUAAACGAUGUCAACUGGUUGUUGGGAAGGUUCCUUUCUCAGUAACGUAGCUAACGCGUGAAGUUGACCGCCUGGGGAGUACGGCCGCAAGGUUGAAACUCAAAUGAAUUGACGGGGUCAUAGCUGUUUCCUG
This 589-nucleotide ribosomal RNA is filed under the name uncultured bacterium. RNAcentral describes it as "partial 16S ribosomal RNA". It matches the Rfam family "Bacterial small subunit ribosomal RNA", at positions 355 to 1376 of the family's 1533-position model. The record is from RNAcentral.